UAUGAACUAGCGCAAAAUUUCACAGAUGAGAAGCUAAUCAAAUAGCAACACUGUGUACAAUGAUUUAAAAUCUGUACCCAGUGAGGUUUUAUGAGAUGCAGUCAUUUGCACAAAGGUAAAAAAAAUUGACUAAAUUUUGAAGGCAGUCUGGCCCCACAUGUUACACCACAU
Long non-coding RNA from Thalassophryne amazonica, 171 nucleotides. RefSeq lists it as uncharacterized. The transcript has 2 exons. NCBI's taxonomy places the organism in Eukaryota, Metazoa, Chordata, Actinopteri, Batrachoidiformes, Batrachoididae. The record is from RefSeq and is a predicted model, not a curated record.